AAACUCAAAGGAAUUGACGGGGGCCCGCACAAGCGGUGGAGUAUGUGGUUUAAUUCGAUGCAACGCGAAGAACCUUACCUGGUCUUGACAUCCCGAGAAUCUCUUGGAAAUAAGAGAGUGCUUGCAUUAGUAAGAACUUGGUGACAGGUGCUGCAUGGCUGUCGUCAGCUCGUGUCGUGAGAUGUUGGGUUAAGUCCCGCAACGAGCGCAACCCUUGCCUUUAGUUGCCAGCAGUUCGGCUGGGCACUCUAAAGGGACUGCCGGUGUCAAACCGGAGGAAGGUGGGGAUGACGUCAAGUCCUCAUGGCCUUUAUGACCAGGGCUACACACGUACUACAAUGGCCGAUACAAAGGGCAGCUACAUCGCAAGAUGAUGCGAAUCUCAUAAAGUCGGUCUCAGUCCGGAUUGGGGUCUGCAACUCGACCCCAUGAAGUUGGAAUCGCUAGUAAUCGUGGAUCAGCAUGCCACGGUGAAUACGUUCCCGGGCCUUGUACACACCGCCCGUCACACCACGGGAGUUGGUUGUUCCAGAAGCAGUUGUGCUAACCUUAGGGAAGUAGGCUGCCAAGGAAUGGCUGGUAACUGGGGUGAAGUCGUAACAAGGUA
RNAcentral lists this ribosomal RNA (607 nucleotides) under uncultured bacterium. Its description in RNAcentral is "bacterial SSU rRNA". It matches the Rfam family "Bacterial small subunit ribosomal RNA", at positions 897 to 1498 of the family's 1533-position model. The record is from RNAcentral.